This 603-nucleotide ribosomal RNA is filed under the name Triticum aestivum (bread wheat). RNAcentral describes it as "partial small subunit ribosomal RNA". The record is from RNAcentral. Lineage: Eukaryota; Viridiplantae; Streptophyta; Magnoliopsida; Poales; Poaceae.
AUGGGCGAGGAGGGCAUGGAGUUUCUGCUUGAUGCGGUGGACAGGUUUCCCGUGCGGGAGGAGUUUGCUGAUAACAUUGAACAGCCAGAUCUGGUUCCUCUUCUGUAUUUGCUACAGAACGGGGGCGGCGGAGAGCAAGGUCCUAUUGCGGCGAACCGUGGUUCUGGGGUGGCUCAGUUGGCCGGUGGAGAUGUCUCGCCCGACGAGCAGGGCGAUGCCAGGAGACGGCGAGUUGCGUCUCCGACGAGGUCUGCUCAGUCAACCGACCGAGUUAAUCCAGAGGCCCCUAGCUGGACUAAACGGUUGCGUCUUGGGAGUGCGCCACCAGACCGUUUGCCAUGCCCAUCCAGGAUGACUGCUCUGGAGUUAACAAUCCGCAAAUAUGCGGAGCAACCGGACAAGAGCGUGAUGCGGCCUGAACUAGGCCUCAGCUUCGACUCGUUGGGUGAGGCAUACGAAUUCUACAAUCUUUAUUCCUGGGAGAUCGGCUUCGGAAUAAGAUAUGGGAAAAGCAGACUAAAUGCUCAGAGGACAAAGACGAUGCAGGAAAUUGUUUGUGGAUGCUCGGGAAAACCGGAAGCAGAGAACAGCAGAUCAUGCUGA